RNAcentral lists this transfer RNA (63 nucleotides) under Pilumnopeus makianus. Its description in RNAcentral is "tRNA-Cys". It matches the Rfam family "tRNA". Rfam says of the family: Transfer RNA (tRNA) molecules are approximately 80 nucleotides in length. The record is from RNAcentral. Lineage: Eukaryota; Metazoa; Arthropoda; Malacostraca; Decapoda; Pilumnidae.
GGUCUUAUAGUAAAAGAAUAAUAUUAGAUUGCAAAUCUAAAGAUGUGUAGAACACUGAGACUU